RNAcentral lists this ribosomal RNA (324 nucleotides) under uncultured eukaryote. RNAcentral describes it as "partial 18S ribosomal RNA". It matches the Rfam family "Eukaryotic small subunit ribosomal RNA", at positions 1470 to 1796 of the family's 1831-position model. The record is from RNAcentral.
CCCUUAGAUGUUCUGGGCCGCACGCGCGCUACACUGAUGCAUUCAACGAGUUUCUUCCUGGUCCGAGAGGAAUGGGUAACCUUUUGAAAGUGCAUCGUGAUAGGGAUAGACUAUUGCAAUUAUUGGUCUUCAACGAGGAAUUCCUAGUAGACGUAGUUCAUCAGACUGCAUCGAUUACGUCCCUGCCCUUUGUACACACCGCCCGUCGCUCCUACCGAUUGAAUGCUCAGGUGAGCCAUUCGGACUUUCAUCAUGCUGGUUUCCAGUUUUGAUGAAGGAAAGUCUUGCGAACCUCAUCAUUUAGAGGAAGGAGAAGUCGUAACA